CCAGAUAGGACACCUGGAUCAAAUGACUACUAGACCCUUUGGAUGAGUUUCUGUGUACUCAUCUCAUUGCUGGUAUCUAGGCAUCGACCUAGUGCACUUUGCCCCGUGUUUGCGCCAUAUGGCCGCUUUUGAAAGGCCUCCCACUGUAGCUGUAAAUAUACACGGAACGACGGAGGAUCAUUCGGCAGACGUGUACAUCCUUGUGCUUUGAGCUGCUUGACUGCCACGUCCUGGUUCACAGGCUGCAGGUUAGGAUGUUCUGUCCAGGAAAUAUGAAGAGGAACGUGUUGUUGUUCAUCGAUGACCUCUUGGCAGGGUUUCCAGUCGUGCUCUCCCGUGAACGCCGUUGGACCCACUGGGACUGAUGGUAUUUCGCCAGAACCAGAUCUCGAGCUGAGAACAACGGCUCAGAUGGCUCCCAGCCCCCGAGUGCCGAUGAUGCUCAAAGUGCUCAGAGAGCGAGCUGGGGUCAAGCGUCAUAUUCAGAAGUGUAAGAACAGGGGUACGGACAAUCGGGUUCACGGCAGCAUUCGUUCUGCCCUGUCUGGGAUUUAAACCACAGACGGCAGCGUCUUCUUAUUACCUCAUAAAUCUACAUGCUAAGGUUUUUUUUGUAGUUGUUGUUUAAGGAAAUGCAUACAAAGGCGCACAAAAAAAAAAAAAAAAAAAAAAAAAAACAGUACACAAAUCUAGCAUAACCUUCGGUCCCGCUGCUAUAGGAAACGAAUCAAUGCGGAGUUACUCCUACCAUGCUGAAAUGGCUUCAUUUCCUGUUAAAAUCAUGUGUGUUUUAUUCCUCUUAUACAGUACCGUGCCAGUUUGCCAACGAUUACAAAUUUUCACUUAUUAAAGAACGAG
Molecule: long non-coding RNA, 858 nt
Organism: Ictalurus punctatus (channel catfish)
Lineage: Eukaryota; Metazoa; Chordata; Actinopteri; Siluriformes; Ictaluridae
Source: Ensembl